AUGAAGACAUUAGUGGGACUGUUGCUUUUGCUUCUCAGUUAUUCAGCCUCAGCAGCUCCAUCUGUCAGUGCUUCAGCUGUCAGUGCUUCAGCUGUCAGUGAUCCAGCUGUCAGUGAUCCAUCUGUCAGUGCUUCAGCUGUCAGUGCUUCAGCUGUCAGUGAUCCAGCUGUCAGUGAUCCAUCUGUCAGUGCUUCAGCUGUCAGUGCUUCAGCUGUCAGUGAUCCAUCUGUCAGUGCUUCAGCUGUCAGUGAUCCAGCUGUCAGUGAUCCAGCUGCCAGGGCUCUAACUGUCAAUGCUUCAGUACUGGAUGGAAAUACAAGUCCUCAAACACGCCGUAACCUUGUCAUCAUGGCCGCCAGUUCUCCCGUUGUGGUCGUGAUACUCUUCUAUGCAAUAGCCCGGGGAUGUGGUGCAACGAACAGCGAAAUCUUAGUAUGUCUUGCUCUAUGCUGUUAUCUCAGAGCGGUAUGAUGUCAGCUGCUUCAAAUUACUGAAUAAAAGGGUUUGGUCUUUGCUCUUUGGGUAUUAAAUAUUUUUUAUUCAUCCUGUGUUUUAAAUAUAUACUAUCUUUUAGCACACUUGUUAUAUCUGUCUUUCUUAUAUCUCUUUUGACACAAAUGUGUAUGCUUGCAUGUUGUAGUCAACCGAUUUUCUUUUUAUGUUUAAUAAAAUGUUCUGUUUAAAGAAAUUCAUAAAAUUGGGUGGUAUCUAUAACCUGCUUUUCUACAAUUAAUGAGCACUGUGGUGCAAACUCUGUCACUUCUGCUUGCAUGACAUGUUCCAUCAAAUAGACCAAAUCAGCUGUUCCUCACAUUACAUAUUGUCAAGAAGACUGAGAUCCCUCGGCUCAGACAAAAGCUUGUAUGUGUGUAUUAGGAUGUGAUGAUUUCACAUCACAAUAAGUGAUGUUGUUUGUAUCAGAGGAUUUAUAAAAACCUCUGCAGUUAAUGAUUAUUCGCAGUUUCCCCGGGGUAUCGUUAAAGUGAGCUUGAAGACUUCUGUUUCACACAGUCGAUUUUUUUUAUACCCACUAGAGAUAAAUUUUUUACUUUUCUUUAAACUCUUACAUUUUGAAUGUGAAUAUUAUUAACUGAUUGAGCUGUUUCAUUUGCCGUUUCUAAAUUGCUUAAUAAAGUAUCUUUUAAAGUUAAUUUUGUGGACAUUCCAUUCUUUUGACGUAAAGGUCGAACUUGGGCAGGAGUAUUAACAUCUACUUUUUUAAAGUUCUUAUAGGUUAUUCUAGUGUUUGAAAGCUAACAGAUCCCUGGGGUCUGUUUUCCAGGCCACCUCUGGUAAAUCUUAGCAAAUUUCCAAGUGCCAAAGAUCGUUAGAGAGGAGCUACAGUUAAUGAAUGUGGCUGUUGAUCAUACUUUACUCAGGGUUGCUAGUAAAGGAUGCAGUUCGCUAAAUGAUUGUGAACUGCGGGGAGGCAUUCAGACAGAGGUAGUGAGUGCUGAGAGAUAAAUAAAAUCUGUUAACCUAUCGUGGUAAUACCCCUGAGAUCAGAGACUCUGAUCCUUUCAACUAGAAAGCCAAUUUUAUGACUAUGCUGCAGUUUCUUUUGGCUAGAACUGAACAAUGAACCACCAGGUGGUGCAGUUGUACAUUUUUAUAUUUAUGUUACAUUUUGGGAAUUUAGGCAGCAUCUUGCAGAGUUAAAUCUUUGGUUUCACCACAUCUCAAAUAAACAUGAUUUUUGGAGGCCAAUGAAGUCUUUGGAAAGAAACCAGUUUGAGAUAAUCUGAGCUUGGUGAAAUGACCCUUCUGAAAACAGCUGAUAGAAACAAUGCAAACUGUAAUCAUGAAUGCACAGAAAUGCUGUGGUAUAUAAAUAAUCCUCAGAUGCCAACAAAGGGAGGAAAGUGUUCCAGACAACAUUCUUCAUACUAUCACAACAUCUACUUGAGUUGUUAGAACAAGGUAGAAGUGACAGUCGUUUACCACGUCUUGAAGAUAUCCUCAGUUGAGGUCAGAAGCGCUCCGUCUUCACUGGACUCAGUGCAAAACGAGAUACAAACUAUUAAAAUAAUAGAAAACAAAGAAACAUUUCACAAAGAGUGAAAAUAAUAUCACAACCAAAACCUUCAUCUUGUG
Molecule: long non-coding RNA, 2094 nt
Filed under: Oreochromis niloticus (Nile tilapia)
Lineage: Eukaryota; Metazoa; Chordata; Actinopteri; Cichliformes; Cichlidae
Description: lncRNA (ENSONIG00000029834.1)
Source: RNAcentral